GAUGAACGCUAGCGGCAGGCUUAAUACAUGCAAGACGAACGGUAACUGGUGUAGCAAUACAUUAGCAAGAGUGUCGUACGGGUGCGUAACACGUAUGCAACCUACCUUGUACAGGAGGAUAGCUCGGGGAAACUCGAAUUAACCCUCCAUGAGAUCACAGUGUGGCAUCACAUAGUGAUUAAAACUCAGGUGGUACAAGAUGGGCAUGCGUCGAUUAGUUAGUUGGC
This 227-nucleotide ribosomal RNA is filed under the name uncultured bacterium. Its description in RNAcentral is "partial 16S ribosomal RNA". It matches the Rfam family "Bacterial small subunit ribosomal RNA", at positions 28 to 253 of the family's 1533-position model. The record is from RNAcentral.